AUCUCUACCGGUAAAGGAACACAGCCACGGCUUGCCAGGGAAGGGACCAGAGAAGCAAAUAUCCCGACCUUUCUCAGCAACCAUCUCCCCAUCCCAUACGAGUGCCUGCCAUCGGGUGAUCUAACUGCAAGCAAAAGGCAGCAGGGAAUAUUUGAAGAUUUCUGUGGCCAGUCUCCUAGGAAUGUGAGCACUGUGAGGAAAGCUGGAACAUGGAUCUGGAGGGACAAACGGAGAACGUCCAGGACAGGAAGAGUAGUGGGAAACGAGUCAGAGAGAGAGCAAAUGUGCGCUGAGUGCCUCUCCAUGGAAGCCUGAGGGGAACCCAGCAGGGCGCAGAGCAAGCAACAUCCCUGCCCUCUACUGGCUGGAUGAGGGAGGACGGUGAGAUGCGGUGCCAUCCGUGCAUCUGGACAUUGCAAGGUGAGGAAGAGAAAGAGGUGCCCAGGAUAGCAGAAUGUGCCUACCACCCACAACAGAGAUAAAAUCUCAGUUCCAGCCAAGAAGUGUACACAGAAA
Molecule: long non-coding RNA, 516 nt
Filed under: Pan troglodytes (chimpanzee)
Lineage: Eukaryota; Metazoa; Chordata; Mammalia; Primates; Hominidae
Description: long non-coding RNA NONPTRT013774
Source: RNAcentral